This is a non-coding RNA of Leptonychotes weddellii (Weddell seal), 9783 nucleotides long. Lineage: Eukaryota; Metazoa; Chordata; Mammalia; Carnivora; Phocidae. The record is from RefSeq and is a predicted model, not a curated record.
GCAGCGAGGUGCUCUGGGAAUCGCGGGCGGCGCCGGCUGGCGGCGCGGUCCUCACUGGGGAUCCCGGGGGCUGGGGCUUGACCCGGAGUUGCAGCGAGCCCCUCAGAGCGGCAGUUUUUUUGAGUACUAGAACAGCACAAACAUGUUUCGGAAUAGUCUCAAGAUGCUUCUUACCGGAGGGAAAUCGAGUCGUAAAAACAGAUCAAGUGAUGGAGGGAGCGAGGAACCACCGGAUCGAAGACAGUCAAGUGUAGACUCUCGCCAAAGCCGCUCUGGGCAAGGUGGCAUCUCCACAGAAAGCGACUGUGUUUUUGAGCCCGACUACGCCGUUCCACCACUUCCAGUGAGUGAAGGUAUGCAGCACAUUCGGAUUAUGGAGGGCAUGUCUCGCUCUCUUCCAUCCUCCCCCUUACUCACACAUCAGUCUAUCAGUGUUCGGCUCCAACCUGUGAAGAAGUUAACUGCCCCUCUGAGGAAGGCAAAGUUUGUUGAGAGCCCACGAAUUCCAGAAUCCGAGCUUGGCUCACCAACCCUCGCUUCAGCUCAGAAACUGGACGUGGAUGCGUACUGCCCUGGUGAUGCUGAACAGGAACUUGGUCCCCCUCCAUCUGUAGAUGAAGCAGCAAACACACUCAUGACUCGUCUGGGUUUCCUCCUUGGAGAGAAAGUGACGGAAGUUCAGCCAGGUGACCAAUACAACAUGGAAGUACAGGAUGAAAAUCAGACCUCAGCAGUCACGCAGCGGAUAAGUCCCUGUUCCACCUUGACUAGCAGUACCGCCUCCCCACCAGCCAGCAGCCCCUGCUCCACCCUCCCGCCAGUCAGUUCAAGUGCAACUGCCAAGGAUUGCAGCUAUGGGGCUGUUACUAGCCCAACCUCUACCCUUGAAAGCAGAGAUAGCGGCAUUAUUGCUACGUUGACAAGCUAUUCUGAAAAUGUAGAACGCACAAAAUAUGUUGGGGAAAGCAGUAAAGAAUUAGGGUCUGGAGGAAACCUAAAACCUUGGCAGUCUCAAAAAUCCAGCAUGGAUUCCUGUUUGUAUCGAGUAGAUGAAAACAUGACAGCUUCCACCUAUAGUCUGAAUAAGAUCCCAGAAAGGAAUUUGGAAACAGUUUUAUCACAAUCAGUACAGUCUAUUCCUCUAUAUCUUAUGCCACGGCCAAAUUCAGUAGCAGCCACCAGCUCUGCCCACUUGGAGGACCUUGCUUACCUGGAUGAGCAGAGACAUACACCUUUGAGAACUUCUCUUCGAAUGCCGAGACAAAGCAUGGGCGGUGCUCGCACACAACAGGAUUUAAGAGUUCACUUUGCACCUUAUAGGCCUCCAGAUAUCUCCCUGAAGCCUCUGCUCUUUGAAGUGCCCAGCAUCACUACAGAGUCAGUGUUUGUUGGCCGGGAUUGGGUUUUCCAUGAAAUAGAUGCUCAACUUCAGAGUUCAAAUGCCAGCGUGAACCAAGGAGUAGUGAUUGUGGGAAACAUUGGGUUCGGCAAAACUGCCAUCAUUUCCAGACUGGUGGCCCUCAGCUGCCAUGGAACACGGAUGAGACAGAUCGCCUCAGACAGCCCACACGCCUCCCCCAAACAUGUGGAUGCCAACAGAGAGCUGCCACUCACACAGCCACCUUCAGCCCAUUCAUCCAUCCCCAGUGGAAGCUGCCCAGGAACCCCAGAAAUGCGCAGGCGGCAGGAGGAGGCUAUGCGGAGACUAGCCUCGCAGGUGGUUGCCUAUCACUAUUGCCAAGCAGAUAAUGCCUACACCUGCCUGGUCCCAGAAUUUGUCCACAAUGUUGCUGCCCUGCUCUGCCGCUCACCUCAGCUGACGGCCUAUCGGGAGCAGCUUCUUCGGGAGCCUCACUUACAGAGCAUGCUGAGCCUUCGGUCCUGUGUUCAAGACCCCAUGGCCUCCUUCCGGAGGGGAGUCCUGGAGCCGCUGGAGAAUCUCCACAAAGAGAGAAAAAUCCCAGAUGAAGAUUUCAUCAUCCUAAUUGAUGGAUUAAAUGAAGCAGAAUUUCACAAACCGGAUUAUGGGGACACAAUUGUUUCAUUUCUGAGUAAAAUGAUUGGAAAAUUUCCUUCUUGGCUCAAACUAAUUGUAACAGUUAGGACCAGUUUACAGGAAAUUACCAAGCUGCUGCCUUUCCAUAGGAUUUUUUUGGAUCGACUAGAAGAGAAUGAAGCCAUAGACCAGGAUCUGCAGGCUUACAUCCUGCACCGGAUACACAGCAGCUCAGAGAUCCAGAAUAACAUUUCACUUAAUGGCAAAAUGGACAAUACUACAUUUGGCAAACUCAGUUCUCACCUCAAGACCCUCAGUCAAGGGUCCUAUCUAUACCUGAAACUCACAUUUGACCUCAUAGAGAAAGGCUAUCUAGUGUUAAAGAGCUCUAGCUACAAAGUAGUUCCUGUUUCGCUCUCUGAGGUUUAUUUACUCCAGUGCAAUAUGAAGUUCCCAACCCAGUCUUCCUUUGACCGGGUGAUGCCUCUCCUGAAUGUGGCAGUGGCCUCUCUGCACCCACUCACUGAUGAACAUAUCUUCCAGGCCAUCAAUGCUGGUAGCAUUGAAGGCACCCUAGAAUGGGAGGAUUUUCAGCAGAGAAUGGAGAACCUCUCCAUGUUCCUAAUCAAGCGCAGAGACAUGACUCGUAUGUUUGUACAUCCUUCUUUUCGAGAAUGGCUUAUCUGGAGAGAAGAAGGAGAGAAAACCAAAUUUCUCUGUGAUCCCAGGAGUGGUCACACAUUACUUGCUUUCUGGUUUUCUCGCCAAGAGGGAAAACUAAACCGACAGCAGACUAUUGAACUGGGACAUCACAUCCUCAAAGCACACAUUUUUAAGGGUUUGAGUAAAAAAGUUGGUGUGUCAUCUUCCAUCCUCCAAGGUCUCUGGAUCUCCUAUAGCACAGAAGGUCUUUCCAUGGCAUUGGCAUCUUUACGAAAUCUCUACACUCCAAAUAUAAAGGUCAGCCGACUGCUGAUUUUGGGAGGUGCCAACAUUAAUUACCGGACAGAGGUUUUAAAUAAUGCUCCAAUUCUGUGUGUCCAGUCUCAUCUUGGUUACACAGAAAUGGUGGCCCUGCUACUGGAGUUUGGGGCCAAUGUGGAUGCCUCUUCUGAAAGCGGCCUGACCCCUCUGGGCUAUGCAGCGGCGGCUGGCUUCCUGAGCAUCGUUGUACUUCUGUGCAAGAAGCGUGCCCAGGUGGAUCAUUUGGACAAGAAUGGGCAGUGUGCUUUGGUCCAUGCUGCACUCCGAGGUCACCUGGAGGUUGUCAAGUUUUUGAUUCAGUGUGACUGGACGAUGGCCGGCCAGCAGCAAGGAGUAUUUAAGAAGAGCCAUGCCAUCCAGCAGGCCCUCAUUGCUGCAGCCAGCAUGGGGUACACGGAGAUUGUCUCCUACCUACUUGAUCUUCCAGAAAAAGAUGAAGAAGAAGUAGAGCGAGCACAGAUCAACAGUUUUGACAGUCUCUGGGGAGAGACAGCACUGACAGCUGCAGCCGGAAGGGGCAAGCUGGAGGUGUGCCGUCUGCUCUUGGAACAGGGGGCAGCAGUGGCCCAGCCAAACCGCCGAGGGGCAGUGCCCCUGUUCAGCACUGUUCGCCAGGGCCACUGGCAGAUUGUUGAUCUUUUACUCACCCAUGGAGCUGAUGUCAACAUGGCAGACAAGCAAGGUCGUACUCCCCUGAUGAUGGCUGCCUCUGAAGGCCAUCUGGGAACUGUGGACUUUCUACUUGCACAAGGUGCCUCCAUUGCUCUCAUGGACAAAGAAGGACUGACAGCCCUCAGCUGGGCUUGUUUGAAGGGUCAUCUCUCAGUAGUGCGCUCUCUGGUGGAUAAUGGGGCUGCUACGGACCACGCUGACAAGAACGGCCGCACCCCACUGGAUCUGGCAGCUUUCUACGGUGAUGCCGAGGUGGUCCAGUUCCUGGUGGAUCACGGGGCCAUGAUCGAGCACGUCGACUAUAGCGGAAUGCGCCCUCUGGAUCGAGCAGUGGGGUGCCGGAACACUUCUGUUGUUGUCACUCUUCUGAAGAAAGGAGCCAAGAUAGGUUGUCAGACGUUACCGAGUCGCCCACGAGGUCCAGCCACAUGGGCGAUGGCCACCUCCAAACCAGACAUCAUGAUCAUCCUGUUGAGCAAGCUGAUGGAAGAGGGGGACAUGUUUUAUAAGAAAGGUAAAGUAAAGGAGGCUGCCCAGCGUUACCAGUACGCCCUGAAGAAAUUCCCUCGAGAAGGGUUUGGUGAGGACUUGAAAACCUUCCGGGAACUAAAGGUGUCUCUCCUCCUCAACCUCUCCCGAUGUCGCAGGAAAAUGAACGAUUUUGGAAUGGCGGAGGAAUUUGCUACUAAGGCCCUGGAGCUGAAACCGAAAUCUUAUGAAGCUUACUAUGCAAGAGCAAGGGCAAAACGCAGCAGCAGACAGUUUGCAGCAGCCUUAGAGGAUCUGAACGAGGCCAUCAAGCUCUGCCCAAACAACCGUGAGAUCCAGAGACUCCUGCUGCGAGUGGAGGAGGAGUGCCGCCAGGUGCAGCCGCCUCAGCAGCCGCCUCAGCCUCCGCUCCCGGAAGAAACGGAACCCGAACCACAGCACGAAGAUAUAUACUCUGUACAGGAUAUAUUCGAGGAGGAGUACCUGGAACAGGAUGUCGAAAACGUCUCCAUCGGCCUCCAGACCGAGGCCCGGCCCAGUCAGGGGCUCCCAAUAAUCCAGAGCCCGCCCGCCUCUCCAGCCCAUCGGGACUCCGCCUACAUCUCCAGCUCACCACUUGGCUCGCAUCAGGUUUUUGACUUCCGUUCCAGUAGUUCCGUAGGUUCUCCCACCAGACAGGGCUAUCAGUCCACCUCACCCGCUCUUUCUCCAACUCACCAGAACUCUCAUUACAGGCCUAGUCCGCCACACACUUCCCCAGCCCACCAGAGCGGGUCUUACCGCUUUAGCCCCCCGCCCGUGGGAGGACAGGGCAAGGAAUACCCAAGCCCUCCCCCUUCCCCUCUCCGAAGAGGCCCUCAGUAUCGGGCCAGCCCUCCCGCCGAAAGCAUGAGUGUCUAUAGAUCCCAGUCUGGCUCACCCGUGCGCUAUCAGCAAGAAACAAAUGUGAGUCAGCUUCCUGGCAGGCCAAAAUCUCCAUUAUCCAAAAUGGCCCAGCGGCCCUACCAGAUGCCUCAGCUUCCUGUGGCAGUUCCCCAGCAAGGGCUCAGGCUACAGCCUGCCAAGGCCCAGAUUGUGAGAAGCAACCAGCCCAGCUCAGCAGUGCAUUCAAGCACCGUCAUCUCUACAGGGGCCUAUGGCCAAGUAGCCCACUCGAUGGCUAGUAAAUACCAGUCUUCACAAGGAGACGUGGGAGUAAGUCAGAGCCGGUUGGUUUAUCAAGGGUCAAUUGGGGGGAUCGUAGGGGAUGGGAGACCUGUGCAGCAUGUCCAGGCUAGCCUGAGUGCAGGCGCCAUCUGUCAGCAUGGAGGGUUGACCAAAGAAGACCUUCCACAGCGGCCUGCCUCAGCAUAUCGAGGUGGUAUGAGGUACAGCCAGACACCACAGAUCGGACGUAGCCAGUCGGCGUCCUACUACCCGGUCUGUCACUCGAAACUAGACCUGGAGCGUUCCUCCAGCCAGCUAGGUUCCCCUGAUGUGUCGCACCUAAUCAGAAGACCUAUCAGUGUCAACCCAAACGAAAUCAAACCCCAUCCACCAACCCCCAGGCCGCUGCUACACUCCCAGAGCGUCGGCCUCCGCUUCUCUCCAUCCAGCAAUAGUAUCUCAUCAGCCUCCAGCCUCACUCCUACCUUCCGGCCAUCUUCCUCGAUUCAACAAAUGGAGAUCCCACUAAAACCGGCAUAUGAGAGGUCAUGUGACGAGCUGUCACCGGUGUCUCCCACUCAGGGAGGUUACCCGAGCGAGCCCACCCGAUCCAGGACCACACCAUUCAUGGGGAUCAUAGAUAAAACAGCCCGGACUCAACAGUACCCCCACCUUCACCAGCAGAAUCGGACCUGGGCCGUGUCAUCCGUGGAUACCGUUCUCAGUCCCACGUCUCCAGGCAACCUGCCUCAGCCUGAGUCCUUCAGUCCGCCAUCAUCCAUCAGCAACAUUGCCUUUUAUAACAAAACCAACAAUGCACAGAAUGGCCAUUUGCUGGAGGACGAUUAUUACAGCCCCCAUGGGAUGCUGGCUAAUGGGUCCCGUGGAGACCUCUUGGAGAGAGUCGGCCAGGCCUCCUCAUACCCCGAUGUGAAGGUGGCUCGGACCCUCCCUGUGGCUCAGGCAUACCAGGACAACCUGUAUAGGCAGUUGUCCCGGGACUCUCGACAAGGGCAGACAUCCCCUAUCAAACCAAAGAGACCAUUUGUGGAGUCUAAUGUUUAAAAGACAUUUGUUGGAGUGAGACCCAUAUGUUUUCACUGCACAUUUUCAGGCUUGGUUUCCAUAUUUGAGGUAGUUCCCUGGCUUAAUUUCUCAUGUAGUUUCUGUGUGGUGUUCAGAGGUGGCAGCCCACAUGCUGGAGUUCUUUGCAUGCAGCCGACCGGGAAGCUGGCCUCCAGCGAGCCAGGACUUCAGUUUCUCCCGUCUGUGCCCCAGCCACAUGCUCUCUCCCUCUCUUCCGACGCCAACGAGGAGAUUGUUGUGCCGUGUGCUUUAGCCCAGGGAGAUCAGACACACUGGUCAGCUUUUUCCAGGAGACAAUCGCUUUCACUGAUGUUCUUGUUGUGUGAAUGUCUUUCUCCUUUUUUACAAAAAUAAGGUGUUCUCGUUUGUUUUCUUCUAGGAACUUUAGAAAGAGUAUGAUGCCCCUUUGCCUUUGCAUUCUUGUCCAGUGUUAUCCAAAUAGCCAGCCCCAGUGCAUUCUUGUGCCAUGGUCUCCUCCCCUGGACUGCCAGCUCCCUGCAGUCAUCAGGUCUAGAACGUUCGUUUAGGUUAUUGCUGGUCUUCCUACGGGGGCAAAAGGAUCAAGGAAAAAGAGAAGAAAGAGGUCUAUUAAAUUGGAAGAAAAAUAUAUAUAUAUAUAUAAUUAUUUGAAAUGUCACUACCUUGAUUUUCCAAGAAGUGUUUUAUGAAUAUUUAGAGAACAACCAGCCCUUUAAAUAGUUCACUCAGCCAAGGAAAUCGGAUGAGAAUCAUGGAUAUUCUUAAAUAAUCCACUGAGAGGUAUUCUUUAGGUUUUUAGCCAACAAUUAACUAUUAAAAAUCUACUGAUUUUCCAUGGGUGGUGGGGGGGAAAUACAUAAAUAUAGAGAAAGAGAGAGAGGAAGAAAGACUGUUCUGGAUUCUCAGUGAAAGGCUAGAGAACAUCUUUGUCUUGGAGAAAUCUGCUUUAUAGGUCCUGAGAUAAUCACUGAGCAUCAUAUUCCACAAAAGCAAACUCUUGCCGAGGUUUGACUGGUACACUAAUCCUGUUAGUUGGGUCUUCACCCAGAGCCAGGUUUGUGUUCUACCGGCCCUCCUUUUUUCAGCCCACAUGGUGUAGUGAAGAAACUGGUUCUCUGAGAAGCAAAUUGAAUUCUCUCGGGACCGUAAGACUUUAUUCCUGAAGUUUGCACCCAGGGCCAUUGUACCCUGCGCCAGACGUCAUCUGAUUCUCUUUCGAGAUCUAUAGUUCCAUAAUCUAUUACUCUAGGAAUUGUUUCUUCUUUUCUUUUUUUCGAGGUAGGAGUGUUUGGGGAGCGAUCUUUGAAAACCAGACACUGCAAAGUGUUUCAGGGAGAAGACAGACCCCUUUCAGCCCUGGGUGGGAGCACGUGAGACAGACAGCAGGUCUUCUGAUCCGGUCAGCCUGCACCGUUCCGUGUCUUGUGGUCAUUUGCUGACCUGUCCUUUGCGUGACUGAGGCCAGCACGAGAUGGACAGCAAGAACACUGAAACCAAAGCCUUAGCACAGGCCUGGUACUGACUGCACGUCAGCUCUGAAAACUUAAGAAACUGAGCAAAAGAGAAUCCGUUCUCUGUUAUUAGGAAUCAUUCUGCUCUUGUUAGUAAAGGGCUAUUGGAAGGGCAGUUUCCUGCCCUAAAAAUCCAGAUGUGACCAGACCUGUUUGUAAUAGUAAGUGUCCUCUGAAAGUAUCACGAAGACAUGGGGAGCAUGAAGCUGAGGUCAGAAACAUUUCUCUACUACUUUAGAUUCUGCCGAGUAGAUGGACCCCUCUGCCCCCAAGCUUUUUGAAAGAGGCCAGGACUUGUCUCUCUGUGCUAGAAGCAGACAGCUGGGCCAGCUCAAGACCCAGACUCUUCGCACUCUGUCUGAUGCCUAGGGACUGUGUCCUACUCAGCUAGCCCAGGGUGGGCACCGGCGUCUUGUCCCUUCCCUUCUCCCUCUCUUUCUCUCCCCGAGAAGAUGAAAUGUCCAGCUGUAGCACCAGCCCACAGCCAGGAGCCCGGCUCCCGCUUUGUCCAGGUCUCAGCCCCACGGGGCCCUUUGCAUGUCCUCCCUUCCUGAGCACCUCACUGAGGAGCUGCUGCUACAUUCUUGAAGAACGUCUGCAUCUGUCAGAAAAGCGCCCCUGCUUACUUGGAACGCCACACAUGUGACCCGUACUCCGCUCUCGGGGAGCGAGCGGGUUCUGCAUUUCACCAACUCGCCCCGGAUGUCACUUGUCCCGAGGGUCUCUCACGGUUUUCCUGGACAAACCGGAGAUGUAGGGUCUAUGCCUUAUUGGGCAAAACACUUAGAACAGUCAAAAUGCAACUCUUUGUUAGCCAUUGUAAGAGGGAAUGAAUAUCACUACUGGGCACCAGUUGAGUGUGACUAGAAAAUGCCAGCUGGACCUUCCUGGGGCAGGAGACCGUUCUUCCUUGUAGGCAGCCUGCCCAUGCCCUGCUGCGCUACUUCACUGCCGUGGGCUCGUCUUAGUGCCGCGUCUCCGAGAUGCCCUCUCCCCCGGCAACACUUGCUGAAUCGAUGUCUGGCUUCCGGUGGGGGAAGUUUUUCAGAUGAACCUGAGAUGUACCCAAUAGAAAAAUUAACCAGUAUCUAAUUUAAUAUCCGUAAGUAUUUUCCUUAGAUUUUAGUCCUAUACGGUGGGUUAUGUGGACGUCACCUUGCUUUAACCAUACUCUACCACUAGGUGUCACUGUGGCUCUGCACCAGGCUUGUCUGGUGGCAAAGAACGGCAGCCCGGCCCCCUGGAGGAGCCGCUCCCAGGUCAGCAGGCAGGCCCAGAGGGUUCAGGAAGGAGGGGACAGAGGCCUGCAGAGGGGUCUUCACGUAUCUGCGCCCGCUGUGGCACGAUAAGCUCUUUGAACACUACCCGCUUUGGACCUUCAGCCAGGCAGAGGCUGGGAGAACUGAGUAGAACUCCCUUGCUCUGGUAGAUGGGUGGGUAUGAGGAAGCCUCCUUUGCUCCCCAUGAGCAUCCCUCUCAGUUCCUCUUGGCUUCCAACUAUUAUAACUCCAGAGAUGUCACCGUUGGCUGGUUUGAUUCAAAAAUCAUUAUUUUUCUACUGCAGAAAUGCCUUGGACAAAACCAGUUGCUCACUGAAUCUUUGCCACCAAAUGCAACAGGCUCCCGCCCCCCGGGGGGGGUGGGGGGGACAGGAUGUUCCGCCCUCCCUGUCCCAGCCUCUCCCACCCUUGUCUGUCUGUCCUUGGGCUGCCCACUUCUCAAGAAGCCAACCUGCAAAGGCAGCCUGCUGCUGCUUCCACACCGAGGCCCGUGCGGACCCGUCGCGUGCACAUUGGGAGGUGUGGCUUUUUCUCCUUUUCCUCUAGGAAUUCCAGACUGACCAUCUACCAGGACUAACAACAAUGAACAAAGGGCUUAGGGGUAAGAGCUACCUACAAAGACGUGUCAUGGAAAUCUUCA